GGAAUCUUCCGCAAUGGGCGAAAGCCUGACGGAGCAACGCCGCGUGAGUGAUGAAGGUUUUCGGAUCGUAAAGCUCUGUUGCCAGGGAAGAACGUCUUGUAGAGUAACUGCUACAAGAGUGACGGUACCUGAGAAGAAAGCCCCGGCUAACUACGUGCCAGCAGCCGCGGUAAUACGUAGGGGGCAAGCGUUGUCCGGAAUUAUUGGGCGUAAAGCGCGCGCAGGCGGCUCUUUAAGUCUGGUGUUUAAUCCCGAGGCUCAACUUCGGGUCGCACUGGAAACUGGGGAGCUUGAGUGCAGAAGAGGAGAGUGGAAUUCCACGUGUAGCGGUGAAAUGCGUAGAGAUGUGGAGGAACAUCCAUGGCGAAGGCAGCUACCUGGACCAACAUUGACACUGAGGCACGAAAGCGUGGAGAGCAAACAGGA
This 426-nucleotide unclassified non-coding RNA is filed under the name plant metagenome. RNAcentral describes it as "partial contains 5.8S ribosomal RNA, internal transcribed spacer 2, and large subunit ribosomal RNA". It matches the Rfam family "Bacterial small subunit ribosomal RNA", at positions 358 to 777 of the family's 1533-position model. The record is from RNAcentral.